Long non-coding RNA from Euleptes europaea (tarantolino), 388 nucleotides. RefSeq lists it as uncharacterized. The record is from RefSeq and is a predicted model, not a curated record. Lineage: Eukaryota; Metazoa; Chordata; Lepidosauria; Squamata; Sphaerodactylidae. The transcript is spliced from 3 exons.
AGGAUUCUUUCCAAGCAGUUCUUAAGGAUGUGAUGCUUUUCUGCGCCAUAAGAUGAUGUUAAUUUCUCCCUCGAUUUUGAAAAAAUAUUAAAUUCCCUUUAACAAAAUCACCCAGGAGGCAGGAAAAUUUAUGAUCACUUUCCCAUAUGGAUACCAUGCAGGGUUUAACCAUGGUUUCAACUGUGUAGAGUCAACAAACUUUGCAAUGAUCCGAUGGAUUGAUUAUGGAAAAGUGGCUAAAUUGUGUACCUGUAGGAAAGACAUGGUAACAAUAUCAAUGGAUGUCUUUGUGAAGAAAUUCCAGCCUGCCAGACACCAUCUGUGGAAACAAGGAAAAGAUUUAUAUACCAUCGAUCAUACAAAACCCACCCGAAAUGACACCUGAGGU